ACGGGCGUAGCUCAACGGUAGAGCGCCGGUCUCCAAAACCGAAGGCUGUGGGUUCGAAUCCUGCCGCCCGUGC
This 73-nucleotide transfer RNA is filed under the name Actinoplanes nipponensis. RNAcentral describes it as "tRNA-Trp". It matches the Rfam family "tRNA". Rfam says of the family: Transfer RNA (tRNA) molecules are approximately 80 nucleotides in length. Their secondary structure includes four short double-helical elements and three loops (D, anti-codon, and T loops). Lineage: Bacteria; Bacillati; Actinomycetota; Actinomycetes; Micromonosporales; Micromonosporaceae. The record is from RNAcentral.